CAUCAUCUUAUCAAAGCAUGUCAUUAGGUAAUUACAUAAGCAUUUCACCUAGCAUAUAUAUGGCAUAUGCUAUCAUGUGACUAAUACAAGAAGGAGAGUGUAUGAUAGAUGGCCACUUAUCUUGGUUGUUGCUUCGUUGAAUUACAAAUAAUUUAUGCUAAAUUCAUACAACAAAUAGUAGUUGUGCUAAGAAGAGGAAAAGGAGGAAGACC
This 212-nucleotide long non-coding RNA is filed under the name Elaeis guineensis (African oil palm). RNAcentral describes it as "long non-coding RNA (EGUI_LNC021375)". Lineage: Eukaryota; Viridiplantae; Streptophyta; Magnoliopsida; Arecales; Arecaceae. The record is from RNAcentral.